AUGAGGUCGGAGAUGGAGCCCAGCGAGGUGGGGAGGCCCCGAGUGGGGCUGCGGGCUCCCGGCGGAGGCAGGGCAGGGGCCGGUCCCGGGCCGGUGCCGUCGGGGGGUGCAGCGGGGGAACCCCGUUCCCCGGGCGGUGGCAGCGGCGGUAGCGGCGGCGGCUCCGGUUUGGCGCUGCGGAUCCUGCGGGCGCGACGGUUCUGGAACCAGACCUGGACCGGGCAGGGUCGGGGAGCAGGGGCGAGACACGACCGUCAGACACCGGUGGCAGCCGGACCGGGCAGCCCCGCGGAAGAGGUGUGGGGGGGUCCCGGCCCCNNNNNNNNNNGGAGGAAGGGACGGAGGAGGAGGAGGAGGAGCGGGGGGGAAUGUCCUUUCGGCGCUCACCUGGAUCUUGGCCUCGGGCAGCUGGGUGAGCUCGGCCAGGCGCUCCCGGGUGGCGAUGUCCGGGUAGGGGACGGCGGCGAAGGCCCGCUCCAGCUCCGACAGCUGUCCCCGGCUGAACGUGGUCCUCCGCCUCUUCCGAGGCCCCCCCGGGCAGGGACAGGGACAGGGACACGGCCCCGGGGCGCGGACCCCCCCCACCGCCCGCCCGCCGCCCGGCCCGCCCGCCCCGUCGGGGAAGCGGAGCAACGGCUGGGGGGUGCGGGAGGUGCCCGGGGCCGCGCUCAUCCUGCCCGGCUCCCCCGGCCCCGCCGCCGCAGCCACGGCUUUUAUUCCGCCCCCCCCCCCCCCCCCCGCCCCGACCCCGGCGGGCUGGGACCGCCCCGAGCGGGCGGUGCUGCCCCCCCCCCCCGUCCUUCCCCGGCGGCUCCCGGGGCCGGUCCCCGCUCCGCGCCCCCCGACGGCAGCACCCCCAAAGCCCCGGCCGCUCCGGCGACGGUCUCCCCCAGCAUCCCCCGGGGACCAGUAAUCCCACCAGCUGCCCGUACUGGUCUCCCCCCACCCCAUCCCACCCCACUGUGUCGAGGCACGGUGGGCCCCGUGAGGAUCCCAGGGCUCGGAGGGGGGCGCCGGGGGCCAGUGGGUCGGGGGACCCCCAGCAAGUGCAGGAUUUCGGGGCUCCCUGCACCCCACUGCCCGGCUCCCAUGGCCGAGGUGUCACCGCCUGCCUCCCACCACCCCCCCCGCCGCCCUGCCUCGUCCCCCACCGUGCCGUGGCCGCUCUCCCACGGGGCUGGCACCGGUCAAUGUUUAACCGGAGCGGUGGUACCUGUUGUGCGGGGCAGCCCAGGCUGGCUGGAGGUGGCUCCCGCCGGGACCGGCCGGGUGCUGCGGGCACCCUGA
Molecule: long non-coding RNA, 1287 nt
Filed under: Accipiter nisus (Eurasian sparrowhawk)
Lineage: Eukaryota; Metazoa; Chordata; Aves; Accipitriformes; Accipitridae
Description: lncRNA (ENSANIG00000004056.1)
Source: RNAcentral